Molecule: long non-coding RNA, 1290 nt
Filed under: Podarcis muralis (Common wall lizard)
Lineage: Eukaryota; Metazoa; Chordata; Lepidosauria; Squamata; Lacertidae
Description: lncRNA (ENSPMRG00000005966.1)
Source: RNAcentral
ACAUUUGCAGGUAAUACAGAAAUGACCACUAUGCUUAUUUCUGUUUACUAAUACAGCGGUACUUCGGGUUAAGUACUUAAUUCAUUCCAGAGGUCCGUACUUAACCUGAAACUAUUCUUAACCUGAAGCACCACUUUAGCUAAUGGGGCCGCCGCGCUGCCAGAGCACGAUUUCUGUUCUCAUCCUGAAGCAAAGUUCUUAACCCAAGGUAACAUUUCUGGGUUAGCGGAGUCUGUAACCUGAAGCAUCUGUAACCUGAGGUACCACUGUAAGGUGAUUUGUUACGUUUAUGGUUGAGUCAGCUCUCGAACCCAGUUCUUCUGGUGUUUAAUACAGUGGAACCUCAGUUGCCGAACGUAAUCCGUUCUGGAAGACCGUUCAACUUCCUAAACGUUCAACAACCGAGGCGCAAUUGCCAGUCGGCAAAAUCCAUUGGAAAAUGGAGAAACGCACCUCGGAAGCCGUUCGACUUCCAAGGCGCAUUCGAAAACGGAAGCACUCACUUCCGGGUUGUCAGGGUUUCGAAAGCCGAAACCUUCAACUUCCGAAGCAUUCGACAACCGAAGUUCCACUGUACCUUGUCUUGGUUUCCACUUUGUGAGGAUGAAAUGCUAUGUGGACCACUGCCAGAAAUUCUAGAAAUCACUUGUAUUUCCUUUUUGCAGUUUACUUUCGACUGUGAGUUCUUUAACGAAGCUUCAAGAACAGUACAGCUUCCUGUGACCCACCUUUUUUCAUUUGGACUUUCUUCAAGCAAAAUCGUAUUAAAUUCAACUGGCCUUAUUCACAAGGUUCAGCUUCAACAUUUUGGUCAGGUAUAAAUACUGAUUAUUAUUAUUAUAUUAUUAUUAUUAUUAUUUCAGGUACAUAAGUUUUCUGUUUUGGGUUAGUUCUUUUUAGGGAGUUCUAGUAAACUAACAUGUAUUGCAUUGUUACAUUUGUUUAGAUAUACCAAGCUUUUAACAUCCUUAUAGAGAGCAGCUGCCAGUCGCUAAAGGUAAAUUUAUUUCCAGAAAUCACUUUUAAACCAGUGUUGGGGGGAGGGGGUAAUCCUUUGCAUGUACCUCAUUACUCACAUAUUCUUAUUUUUGUAAUGUCAUUCGUUCUGUAGUCUUUAUUUCUAAGGUCAUUUUGUACUCUGACUUGCUGUAAAAUUAACCUUAUUUGAUUUUUGGGGGGCUUUGUAGUUGACAGUACAAUUUCAUGUACUAUAUUGAAACCUACUGAUUCACAUUUGAGCAAGUUACAUCCAAUAUUAAGGCUCACCUUGCUCUUCCCUGCUUUUAAAAU